GGAUUAGUGGCGAACGGGUGAGUAACACGUGAGUAACCUGCCCCUGACUCUGGGAUAAGCGUUGGAAACGACGUCUAAUACUGGAUAUGAUCACUGGCCGCAUGGUCUGGUGGUGGAAAGAUUUUUUGGUUGGGGAUGGACUCGCGGCCUAUCAGCUUGUUGGUGAGGUAAUGGCUCACCAAGGCGACGACGGGUAGCCGGCCUGAGAGGGUGACCGGCCACACUGGGACUGAGACACGGCCCAGACUCCUACGGGAGGCAGCAGUGGGGAAUAUUGCACAAUGGGCGAAAGCCUGAUGCAGCAACGCCGCGUGAGGGAUGACGGCCUUCGGGUUGUAAACCUCUUUUAGUAGGGAAGAAGCGAAAGUGACGGUACCUGCAGAAAAAGCACCGGCUAACUACGUGCCAGCAGCCGCGGUAAUACGUAGGGUGCAAGCGUUGUCCGGAAUUAUUGGGCGUAAAGAGCUCGUAGGCGGUUUGUCGCGUCUGCUGUGAAAUCCCGAGGCUCAACCUCGGGCUUGCAGUGGGUACGGGCAGACUAGAGUGCGGUAGGGGAGAUUGGAAUUCCUGGUGUAGCGGUGGAAUGCGCAGAUAUCAGGAGGAACACCGAUGGCGAAGGCAGAUCUCUGGGCCGUAACUGACGCUGAGGAGCGAAAGCAUGGGGAGCGAACAGGAUUAGAUACCCUGGUAGUCCAUGCCGUAAACGUUGGGCGCUAGAUGUAGGGACCUUUCCACGGUUUCUGUGUCGUAGCUAACGCAUUAAGCGCCCCGCCUGGGGAGUACGGCCGCAAGGCUAAAACUCAAAGGAAUUGACGGGGGCCCGCACAAGCGGCGGAGCAUGCGGAUUAAUUCGAUGCAACGCGAAGAACCUUACCAAGGCUUGACAUACACCGGAAACGGCCAGAGAUGGUCGCCCCCUUGUGGUCGGUGUACAGGUGGUGCAUGGUUGUCGUCAGCUCGUGUCGUGAGAUGUUGGGUUAAGUCCCGCAACGAGCGCAACCCUCGUUCUAUGUUGCCAGCGGGUUAUGCCGGGGACUCAUAGGAGACUGCCGGGGUCAACUCGGAGGAAGGUGGGGAUGACGUCAAAUCAUCAUGCCCCUUAUGUCUUGGGCUUCACGCAUGCUACAAUGGCCGGUACAAAGGGCUGCGAUACCGUAAGGUGGAGCGAAUCCCAAAAAGCCGGUCUCAGUUCGGAUUGAGGUCUGCAACUCGACCUCAUGAAGUCGGAGUCGCUAGUAAUCGCAGAUCAGCAACGCUGCGGUGAAUACGUUCCCGGGCCUUGUACACACCGCCCGUCAAGUCAUGAAAGUCGGUAACACCCGAAGCCGGUGGC
Molecule: ribosomal RNA, 1333 nt
Filed under: Curtobacterium sp.
Lineage: Bacteria; Bacillati; Actinomycetota; Actinomycetes; Micrococcales; Microbacteriaceae
Description: bacterial SSU rRNA
Rfam family: Bacterial small subunit ribosomal RNA
Source: RNAcentral